This 465-nucleotide ribosomal RNA is filed under the name Vreelandella stevensii. RNAcentral describes it as "partial 16S ribosomal RNA". It matches the Rfam family "Bacterial small subunit ribosomal RNA", at positions 338 to 795 of the family's 1533-position model. Lineage: Bacteria; Pseudomonadati; Pseudomonadota; Gammaproteobacteria; Oceanospirillales; Halomonadaceae. The record is from RNAcentral.
CCUACGGGCGGCAGCAGUGGGGAAUAUUGGACAAUGGGCGAAAGCCUGAUCCAGCCAUGCCGCGUGUGUGAAGAAGGCCUUCGGGUUGUAAAGCACUUUCAGUGGGGAAGAAAGCCUUGGGGCUAAUACCCUCGAGGAAGGACAUCACCCACAGAAGAAGCACCGGCUAACUCCGUGCCAGCAGCCGCGGUAAUACGGAGGGUGCGAGCGUUAAUCGGAAUUACUGGGCGUAAAGCGCGCGUAGGCGGUCUGAUAAGCCGGUUGUGAAAGCCCCGGGCUCAACCUGGGAACGGCAUCCGGAACUGUCAGGCUAGAGUGCAGGAGAGGAAGGUAGAAUUCCCGGUGUAGCGGUGAAAUGCGUAGAGAUCGGGAGGAAUACCAGUGGCGAAGGCGGCCUUCUGGACUGACACUGACGCUGAGGUGCGAAAGCGUGGGUAGCAAACUGGAUUAGAUACCCCAGUAGUC